AAGACUGAAAAACGAAAAAAAAAAUGAAAAUAAAUAAAUAAAUAAAUAAAUAAAAUAUAACAGAAAUUUUUUGGACUUGGGCCUCUCUCAUUUGAGCCCACAGGCCCACAAAAAUCAGGUUAUAAAUUCAGAGUUUCAAUGAAACAAAAGGUAAUUCUAUUCCUAUUACUCUGACAGGGAAAAAGAUAGUGAGAGAAGAGCUAACAGAGUUCAGAGCAACCUCUAGAGACUGAAGGGAAC
RNAcentral lists this long non-coding RNA (240 nucleotides) under Lathyrus oleraceus (garden pea). Its description in RNAcentral is "Pisum sativum (pea) long non-coding RNA (PSAT_LNC011834)". Lineage: Eukaryota; Viridiplantae; Streptophyta; Magnoliopsida; Fabales; Fabaceae. The record is from RNAcentral.